Molecule: ribosomal RNA, 671 nt
Filed under: uncultured Staphylococcus sp.
Lineage: Bacteria; Bacillati; Bacillota; Bacilli; Caryophanales; Staphylococcaceae
Description: bacterial SSU rRNA
Rfam family: Bacterial small subunit ribosomal RNA
Source: RNAcentral
GAGUUUGAUCCUGGCUCAGGAUGAACGCUGGCGGUUCCUAAUACAUGCAAGUCGAGCGAACAGAUGAGAAGCUUGCUUCUCUGAUGUUAGCGGCGGACGGGUGAGUAACACGUGGGUAACCUACCUAUAAGACUGGGAUAACUCCGGGAAACCGGGGCUAAUACCUGAUAAUAUUUUGAACCGCAUGGUUCAAUAGUGAAAGGCGGCUUCGGCUGUCACUUAUAGAUGGACCCCGCCGUAUUAGCUAGUUGGAAGGAACGGCUUACCAAGGCGACAUACGUACCGACCUGGAGGGUGAUCGGCCCACUGGAACUGAACACGGUCCAGACUCCUACGGGAGGCAGCAGUAAGGAUCUUCCGAAUGGGCGAAAGCCUGACGGACAACGCCGCGUGAGUGAUGAAGGUUUUCGGAUCGUAAACUCUGUUGUAGGGAAGAACAAAUUUGUUAUAACUGAACAAGUCUUGACGGUACCUAACCAGAAAGCCACGGUUAACUACGUGCCACCAGCCGCGGUAAUACGUAGGGGCAAGCGUAUCGGAAUUAUUGGGCGUAAGCGCGCGUAGGCGUUUCUUAAGUCUGAUGUGAAGCCCACGGCUCACCCGGGAGGGUCAUUGAAACUGGGGAACUUGAGGCAGAAAAAGAGAGUGGAAUUCCAUGUGUAGCGGUGGAG